Long non-coding RNA from Glycine soja, 291 nucleotides. RefSeq lists it as uncharacterized. The record is from RefSeq and is a predicted model, not a curated record. The transcript has 2 exons. NCBI's taxonomy places the organism in Eukaryota, Viridiplantae, Streptophyta, Magnoliopsida, Fabales, Fabaceae.
AAUGGCGUACUUGAAGAAGAGAUCUAUGUGGAGCAGCCACAAGGAUUCGUGUCUGAAGGCAAAGAAAACAAAGUGUUAAAACUAAGAAAAGCACUCUACGGUUUGAAGCAAGCACCUCGAGCAUGGUAUAGCAGAAUCGAUCAGUAUUUCAUGGAUCGAGGAUUCAGGAGGAGCAAGAGUGAGCCUACACUUUACAUCAAGUCUCAAGCUACACGGCCUGACAUAAUGUAUGCUACAAGUCUUCUAUCAAGAUUCAUGCAAAGCCCAAGUCAAAUACACUUUGGAGCAGGA